UGGCGGUCCCGCCGCAGCUUCCAUCGCGUAGUAGCUAACACCUCGCGACUGGAGAGCGGCGCGGCCACGCCGUAAAACACCCAACUUUUCUGAAGUUGACCUCGAAUCAGGUAGGAAUACCCGCUGAACUUAAGCAUAUCAAUAAGCGGAGGAAAAGAAACCAACAGGGAUUGCCUCAGUAACGGCGAGUGAAGCGGCAACAGCUCAAAUUUGAAAUCUGGCUCUYGGGCCCGAGUUGUAAUUUGUAGAGGAUGCUUUUGGUGAGGUGCCUUCCGAGUUCCCUGGAACGGGACGCCAUAGAGGGUGAGAGCCCCGUCUGGUUGGACGCCGAACCU
RNAcentral lists this ribosomal RNA (335 nucleotides) under fungal sp. RNAcentral describes it as "eukaryotic LSU rRNA". The record is from RNAcentral. Lineage: Eukaryota; Fungi.